Small nucleolar RNA from Telopea speciosissima, 139 nucleotides. RefSeq annotates it as small nucleolar RNA Z247. The record is from RefSeq and is a predicted model, not a curated record. The transcript has a single exon. Lineage: Eukaryota; Viridiplantae; Streptophyta; Magnoliopsida; Proteales; Proteaceae.
CCCCUCCCUACAGAGGAUUUGAACAUACACAUCUUUCGUGCACUUCAUCCCAAGUUUGAAUCUGUGGUCUCUGCAGUGAUGGAUCGUAGGGAACCAAUCUCUUAUACUGAACUUCAUGGGCUGCUCCUCAGCUGUGAGU